RNAcentral lists this ribosomal RNA (540 nucleotides) under uncultured bacterium. Its description in RNAcentral is "bacterial SSU rRNA". It matches the Rfam family "Bacterial small subunit ribosomal RNA", at positions 331 to 862 of the family's 1533-position model. The record is from RNAcentral.
CCAGACUCCUACGGGAGGCAGCAGUAGGGAAUCUUCGGCAAUGGACGGAAGUCUGACCGAGCAACGCCGCGUGAGUGAAGAAGGUUUUCGGAUCGUAAAGCUCUGUUGUAAGAGAAGAACGAGUGUGAGAGUGGAAAGUUCACACUGUGACGGUAUCUUACCAGAAAGGGACGGCUAACUACGUGCCAGCAGCCGCGGUAAUACGUAGGUCCCGAGCGUUGUCCGGAUUUAUUGGGCGUAAAGCGAGCGCAGGCGGUUAGAUAAGUCUGAAGUUAAAGGCUGUGGCUUAACCAUAGUACGCUUUGGAAACUGUUUAACUUGAGUGCAAGAGGGGAGAGUGGAAUUCCAUGUGUAGCGGUGAAAUGCGUAGAUAUAUGGAGGAACACCGGUGGCGAAAGCGGCUCUCUGGCUUGUAACUGACGCUGAGGCUCGAAAGCGUGGGGAGCAAACAGGAUUAGAUACCCUGGUAGUCCACGCCGUAAACGAUGAGUGCUAGGUGUUAGACCCUUUCCGGGGUUUAGUGCCGCAGCUAACGCAUUA